GAUGAACGCUGGCGGCGUGCCUAAUACAUGCAAGUCGAGCGAACAGACGAGGAGCUUGCUCCUCUGACGUUAGCGGCGGACGGGGGAGUAACACGUGGAUAACCUACCUAUAAAACUGGGAUAACUUCGGGAAACCGGAGCUAAUACCGGAUAAUAUAUUGAACCGCAUGGUUCAAUAGUGAAAGACGGUUUUGCUGUCACUUAUAGAUGGAUCCGCGCCGCAUUAGCUAGUUGGUAAGGUAACGGCUUACCAAGGCAACGAUGCGUAGCCGACCUGAGAGGGUGAUCGGCCACACUGGAACUGAGACACGGUCCAGAUUCCUACGGGAGGCAGCAGUAGGGAAUCUUCCGCAAUGGGCGAAAGCCUGACGGAGCAACGCCGCGUGAGUGAUGAAGGUCUUCGGAUCGUAAAACUCUGUUAUUAGGGAAGAACAAAUGUGUAAGUAACUAUGCACGUCUUGACGGUACCUAAUCAGAAAGCCACGGCUAACUACGUG
RNAcentral lists this ribosomal RNA (497 nucleotides) under uncultured bacterium. Its description in RNAcentral is "partial 16S ribosomal RNA". It matches the Rfam family "Bacterial small subunit ribosomal RNA", at positions 28 to 507 of the family's 1533-position model. The record is from RNAcentral.